RNAcentral lists this ribosomal RNA (333 nucleotides) under Triticum aestivum (bread wheat). RNAcentral describes it as "partial small subunit ribosomal RNA". The record is from RNAcentral. Lineage: Eukaryota; Viridiplantae; Streptophyta; Magnoliopsida; Poales; Poaceae.
AUGUCGUCCACAAUUUCUUUUAAGUCUGUCGGUGUUGACGUCGGUGAGGACGCCGAUUAUGUUCUGGACGGCGACCCUCAUAAGCUGGUUGUGUCUGCCAUUGCAGGUGUAAAGGGGAGGAGUAAGAGGGUGGUGGCACCUACCACGAAGUGGGACUGUUGUGGUUCAAGUGGUAUUAAUUUAUUUUGUUCCGUCAAUUUUGGCCCACAUAUUACUACUUCCUUGCAUUUUGUGGGUACCUUAGAGAUCGUUCCUUGUUAUGUUGAGGUUGUGUGUAGAGAUGAUCAGACAAGUUACUUCAUCGGACAUUUAUAUUUUUUAUUUGAGAAUUGA